GAAAAAUUGUGGGAAUAAGGUGCAACAGCUGCGGCUGGAGCUUAAAAGGGAAGUUCGGUGCAAAACCGACGCGGUCCCGCCACUGUUACGGAUUAGCUGAAGCUACAAGGCCACUGAUCUCGCUUAGCGGGAUUGGGAAGGCAGCUUCCAGUACAAUUUCCGGUAGCCAGGAGACCUGCCUGUUCUGACAACACUGC
This 197-nucleotide non-coding RNA is filed under the name Paenibacillus sp. The record is from RNAcentral. Lineage: Bacteria; Bacillati; Bacillota; Bacilli; Caryophanales; Paenibacillaceae.